RNAcentral lists this microRNA precursor (102 nucleotides) under Callithrix jacchus (white-tufted-ear marmoset). RNAcentral's name for it is "microRNA cja-mir-569 precursor". Its record names the gene cja-mir-569. It matches the Rfam family "mir-569 microRNA precursor family". The record is from miRBase by way of RNAcentral. Lineage: Eukaryota; Metazoa; Chordata; Mammalia; Primates; Cebidae.
GGUAGGUACUGUUAGAUUAAUUUUGUGGGACAUUAACAGCAGCAUCAGUAGCAACAUCAGCUUUAGUUAAUGAAUCCUGGAGAGUUAAGUGACUUUACUUCC